This 440-nucleotide ribosomal RNA is filed under the name uncultured bacterium. RNAcentral's name for it is "partial 16S ribosomal RNA". It matches the Rfam family "Bacterial small subunit ribosomal RNA", at positions 338 to 795 of the family's 1533-position model. The record is from RNAcentral.
CCUACGGGUGGCAGCAGUGGGGAAUAUUGCACAAUGGGGGAAACCCUGAUGCAGCGACGCCGCGUGAAGGAUGAAGGCUUUCGGUAUGUAAACUUCUAUCAGCAGGGAAGAAAAUGACGGUACCUGAACAAGAAGCCACGGCUAACUACGUGCCAGCAGCCGCGGUCAUACGGAGGGGGCAAGCGUUAUGCGGAUUUACUGGGGGUAAAGGGAGCGGAGACGGUAUGGCAAGUCUGAUGUGAAAACCCGGGGCUCAACCCCGGGACUGCAUUGGAAACUGCCGAACUAGAGUGUCGGAGAGGCAAGUGGAAUUCCGAGUGUAGCGGUGAAAUGCGUAGAGAUCAGGAGGAACACCAGUGGCGAAGGCGGCUUGCUGGACGAUGACUGACGUUGAGGUUCGAAAGCGUGGGGAGCAAACAGGAUUAGAUACCCGUGUAGUC